Long non-coding RNA from Bos taurus (domestic cattle), 1126 nucleotides. The record is from Ensembl. Lineage: Eukaryota; Metazoa; Chordata; Mammalia; Artiodactyla; Bovidae.
CCUUUUAAUCUCCAGAAUCCCCCUCAGAUGGGCAUCUGCCAACUGCUCCCUUUGGCCCCUCUUUGCCGCCUCCUUCAGUGAAAUAAUUUUUCCCUGUGAUGGUUAAUUAACUUAGCAGCUUGACUGCGCGCCGAGAUGUUCAUGGUUUAGUAACUCAGUCGUGUCCGACUCUCUCGACCCCGUGGACUGUAGCCCGCCAGGCUCCUCUAUCCUUGGGAUUCUCCAGGCAAGAACACGACUGGGAAUGACAUCCGGGUGGUGAAGAGGGGCACCCCGGCCCGGCUACGGCUCCCCGACAGCCCGCCAUCGGCCCCCACGGUGCUGAAUCGGAGGCUCUCGUCGAGGGGCCUGGAUCCCAUCCUGGUUACUGCAAAUGGGCAUGUUCUUUCCAGCCGGAUGUUCUACGUUUUUUAAGCACUUUUAUUCCAAGUAGGGCCCAAGACCAAUGUUGUCCAUUAAAGGUGACUCUCUUCUGGCAAGAAACAAGAACUUGAGCAAGAACUCUCAGGACUGGAAGGGAAAAGUUGAGAAACAGUAGAAAAUGCGUCCCUGGCAGCCUGGUGCAGAGCGGAGCAGCCCAGCGCCGACACCCCUGCGGCACUAGAGGGCGGGGCAGAGAAGCGGCGAAGCGCCAGGCGCCAGAGCCCGCCAGGGGGAGCUGGGUAUUUCCGAGCUGUCCGCCCAGGGUAUUCACCAAUUCUUUGUUGUUCAGUCCGUAAGUCGUGUGAGACUCUUUGCGACCCCAUGGACUGCAGUCCGCCAGGCUUCCCUGUCCUUUACUAGCUCCCGGAGCUUGCUCAAACUCAUGUACAUCGAGUUGGUGAUGCCAUCCAACCAUCUCAUCCUCUGUCGUCCCCUUCUCCUUCUGCCUUCAAUCUUUCCCAGCAUCAGGGUCUUUUCCAACCAGUCUGCUCUUCGCAUCAGGUGGCCAAAGUGUUGGAGCUUCAGCUUCAGCAUCAGUCUUUCCAAUGAAUAUUCAGGGUUGAUUUCCUUUUUGACUGAUUUGAUCUCCUUGCUGUUUGAGACUCUCAGGAGUCUUUUCACAGUUCAAAAGCAUUGAUUCUUCAGUGUUCAGCCUUCCUUCUGGUCCAACCUCUUACAUCCAUUCAUGAUGUAACCCCCAAAA